GAUGAACGCUGGCGGCGUGCCUAAUACAUGCAAGUCGAGCGAACGGACGAGAAGCUUGCUUCUCUGAUGUUAGCGGCGGACGGGUGAGUAACACGUGGAUAACCUACCUAUAAGACUGGGAUAACUUCGGGAAACCGUAGCUAAUACCGGAUAAUAUUUUGAACCGCAUGGUUCAAAAGUGAAAGACGGUCUUGCUGUCACUUAUAGAUGGAUCCGCGCUGCAUUAGCUAGUUGGUAAGGUAACGGCUUACCAAGGCAACGAUGCAUAGCCGACCUGAGAGGGUGGUCGGCCACACUGGAACUGAGACACGGCCCAGACUCCUACGGGAGGCAGCAGUAGGGAAUCUUCCGCAAUGGGCGAAAGCCUGACGGAGCAACGCCGCGUGAGUGAUGAAGGUCGUCGGAUCGUAAAGAUCUGUUAUUGGGGAAGAAGAUAUGUGUAAGUAACUGUGCACAUCUUGACGGUACCUAAUCAGAAAGCCACGGCUAACUACGUG
Molecule: ribosomal RNA, 497 nt
Filed under: uncultured bacterium
Lineage: Bacteria
Description: partial 16S ribosomal RNA
Rfam family: Bacterial small subunit ribosomal RNA
Source: RNAcentral